GAUGAACGCUGGCGGCGUGCCUAAUACAUGCAAGUCGAGCGAACAGACGAGGAGCUUGCUCCUCUGACGUUAGCGGCGGACGGGUGAGUAACACGUGGAUAACCUACCUAUAAGACUUGGAUAACUUCGGGAAACCGGAGCUAAUACCGGAUAAAAUUUUGAACCGCAUGGUUCAACAGUGAAAGACGGUCUUGCUGUCACUUAUAGAUGGAUCCGCGCCGCAUUAGCUAGUUGGUAAGGUAACGGCUUACCAAGGCAACGAUGCGUAGCCGACCUGAGAGGGUGAUCGGCCACACUGGAACUGAGACACGGUCCAGACUCCUACGGGAGGCAGCAGUAGGGAAUCUUCCGCAAUGGGCGAAAGCCUGACGGAGCAACGCCGCGUGAGUGAAGAAGGUCUUCGGAUCGUAAAACUCUGUUAUUAGGGAAGAACAAAUGUGUAAGUAACUAUGCACGUCUUGACGGUACCUAAUCAGAAAGCCACGGCUAACUACGUG
This 497-nucleotide ribosomal RNA is filed under the name uncultured bacterium. Its description in RNAcentral is "partial 16S ribosomal RNA". It matches the Rfam family "Bacterial small subunit ribosomal RNA", at positions 28 to 507 of the family's 1533-position model. The record is from RNAcentral.